RNAcentral lists this ribosomal RNA (495 nucleotides) under uncultured bacterium. RNAcentral's name for it is "partial 16S ribosomal RNA". It matches the Rfam family "Bacterial small subunit ribosomal RNA", at positions 28 to 507 of the family's 1533-position model. The record is from RNAcentral.
GACGAACGCUGGCGGCGUGCCUAAUACAUGCAAGUAGAACGCUGAAGGAGGAGCUUGCUUCUCCGGAUGAGUUGCGAACGGGUGAGUAACGCGUAGGUAACCUGCCUGGUAGCGGGGGAUAACUAUUGGAAACGAUAGCUAAUACCGCAUAAGAGUAGAUGUCGCAUGACAUUUGCUUAAAAGGUGCAACUGCACCACUACCAGAUGGACCUGCGUUGUAUUAGCUAGUUGGUGAGGUAACGGCUCACCAAGGCAACGAUACAUAGCCGACCUGAGAGGGUGAUCGGCCACACUGGGACUGCGACACGGCCCAGACUCCUACGGGAGGCAGCAGUAGGGAAUCUUCGGCAAUGGACGGAAGUCUGACCGAGCAACGCCGCGUGAGUGAAGAAGGUUUUCGGAUCGUAAAGCUCUGUUGUAAGAGAAGAACGAGUGUGAGAGUGGAAAGUUCACACUGUGACGGUAUCUUACCAGAAAGGGACGGCUAACUACGUG